This 253-nucleotide ribosomal RNA is filed under the name uncultured bacterium. RNAcentral's name for it is "partial 16S ribosomal RNA". It matches the Rfam family "Bacterial small subunit ribosomal RNA", at positions 524 to 776 of the family's 1533-position model. The record is from RNAcentral.
UACGUAGGGGGCUAGCGUUGUCCGGAAUCAUUGGGCGUAAAGAGCGUGUAGGCGGCCCGGUAAGUCCGCUGUGAAAGUCGGGGGCUCAACCCUCGAAUGCCGGUGGAUACUGUCGGGCUAGAGUGCGGAAGAGGCGAGUGGAAUUCCUGGUGUAGCGGUGAAAUGCGCAGAUAUCAGGAGGAACACCGAUUGCGAAGGCAGCUCGCUGGGACGUCACUGACGCUGAGGCACGAAAGCGUGGGGAGCAAACAGG